GGGGGAAAAGAAACCGCAGAGUCUCUGUGAGAGAAACAUGGUACCUUGUACAUGUUUAUGAUGUCAUCAUCUGCUGCCGCUGGGCGGGUGCUUUGUCCCGAUCCCGGCGUCCGGCGUGGUUUCACUGUUUUAGUUCACUUGCUAUAAAGUACUUGCAAGCAAGGCCUAUGUACAACUCUAUCUCUUUUGAGUACUUGCAACCAAAGGCCUUUGUGCAGUCUCCACCUGUAUACGUUGGAGUAAUGUAUCACCAGCCAAAUCCACCUGUCUGUCUCUGAAAAGGAACAAGGGGAGGAUGAGCUGGCAGAACAGUAAGAAAGAGCAAGAUUUAAUGGAGUGUGGAAAAGACUUAUAGAGAACUGUUCAGGAAAAUAUUUGUUUGUGCUAUUGGAAGACUGGCAAACACACUCUUGACUAAGGAUUUCCCGUGCAUUCCUGAAGAUCUGGCAUGCUGUUUUCUGCAUAGCUUUAGUAGUUCAGGAGGUGCCACUUUCUCUUUAAAGAAAAAAUAAAUUCAGAAA
Molecule: long non-coding RNA, 521 nt
Organism: Pseudophryne corroboree (corroboree frog)
Lineage: Eukaryota; Metazoa; Chordata; Amphibia; Anura; Myobatrachidae
Exons: 4
Source: RefSeq, a predicted model, not a curated record